Molecule: long non-coding RNA, 507 nt
Organism: Sycon ciliatum
Lineage: Eukaryota; Metazoa; Porifera; Calcarea; Leucosolenida; Sycettidae
Exons: 4
Source: RefSeq, a predicted model, not a curated record
AAGGGGAAUAUGAGGAGGAAGUAGAGCGCCACGUCCACUACGACAAGAAACUCAGCAACUCCGAGCUGCCGGUUGAUGUCAACGAUUGGUCACGACUUGAGUAUGGAAAGUACCUGCACAACUACGUGACUCUGCCGCGGAAGUUCUCCAAGAAGCACAGGAAGCAAAGACCAGCACUACCGCAAGUUGACGGGCCGGACAACUCCGCUGAUCCGCUAGCGGGUGCAGAGCAGCUAACGGGCAGCGAGGCGAGGACGUGCGGAACUAUUUGUCUGCCCGACAACGGCGAAUUGCAGCUUGAUGAGCCGUAUCAGGUUCGGUAUGACGAGAACGGCGAUCCUCUUCCGGAACGCGAAGACGAACAGAACGCGUCUGGAGAGCUGGAGGAGGGCACGCUGCCGCCUCUGAGUCGGAGUGGACCGAGGAGAAAGUCCAUGUCCUAGCGAGGCCAUACCAGUCUUAAUGCUAGAAACUCCGAGUUCUUCAUCCAGCUGAAGGAGAUAAAGA